GAUGAACGCUGGCGGCGUGCCUAAUACAUGCAAGUCGAGCGAACGGACGAGAAGCUUGCUUCUCUGAUGUUAGCGGCGGACGGGUGAGUAACACGUGGAUAACCUACCUAUAAUACUGGGAUAACUUCGGGAAACCGUAGCUAAUACCGGAUAAUAUUUUGAACCGCAUGGUUCAAAAGUGAAAGACGGUCUUGAUGUCACGUAUAGAUGGAUCCGAGCUGCAUUAGCGAGUUGGUAAGGUAACGGCUUACCAAGGCAACGAUGCAUAGCCGACCUGAGAGGGUGAUCGGCCACACUGGAGCUGAGACACGGUCCAGACUCCUACGGGAGGCAGCAGUAGGGAAUCUUCCGCAAUGGGCGAAAGCCUGACGGAGCAACGGCGCGUGAGUGAUGAAGGUCUUCGGAUCGUAAAACUCUGUUAUUAGGGAAGAACAUAUGUGUAAGUAACUGUGCACAUCUUGACGGUACCUAAUCAGAAAGCCACGGCUAACUACGUG
RNAcentral lists this ribosomal RNA (497 nucleotides) under uncultured bacterium. RNAcentral describes it as "partial 16S ribosomal RNA". It matches the Rfam family "Bacterial small subunit ribosomal RNA", at positions 28 to 507 of the family's 1533-position model. The record is from RNAcentral.